AGUCAGGAGGGAAAGCCAACCUUGCGGGGAGGUCGUAUGGGAGGAAAGGGUUAGCCGACCAUUGACAGAGAGUCCGUGGAACCACGCCUCCGAGUUCUGGGGUGGGCACACGUGAGGGAAGGGGGAAAUCCCCCUUGGGGAGUCCAAUGCCAGUGUGGUUGAGGUGAGAGGUCCCUUGUGUGUUUGUGUCAGGUGUUGUCGGGAGUCCGGUUGCCACGACCCUGGAAGCUGGCAGCGUGGGCAGGACCGCAGGGGGCCCCGGCUUCACCAGUCCUGGGCGCGGAGCAGGGGGACCCGGCAGCCCGACCACAAUUGCCAGAGGAGGGACCCCAGAAGGUCCUGAGGGCUUGACAGCAGCACCCGGCAGUGAGAGCACACGUGGAGACCUCGGCGCCCCAGGCACGACCUUGGGAGGCAGAGCAGGAACCACUCUAGGUCUUCGGAGUGAACCUUCUGGGACAGGUGUUGGCGGGAGUCCGUUUGCCACGACCCUGGAAGCUGGCAGCGUGGGCAGGACCUCAGGAGGCCCCGGCUUCACCAGUCCUGGGCGCGGAGCAGGUGAGUGGAGUUCAGAAGCCAGGGUCGCCUCCACCCACGCCAAAGCGACCGGCAUGGGGCCACGCUGCUGAUCACGAUCACGGUUGACAAGCCAAGGACACGUGAGCCCUUGGCUGGAGACUUGUGGGCCCUGAGAGACUCUGGCAGCAGGUGUGUACCUCUGCAUCAUGGUCCAGAGAGGCAACGUGGGACGGGACCGCUCCUGGGGAUUGAUGCCCUAAGGCGGGGCCGGCCGUGGUCUUGCUGGGUUGGG
RNAcentral lists this long non-coding RNA (811 nucleotides) under Vulpes vulpes (red fox). Its description in RNAcentral is "lncRNA (ENSVVUG00000016654.1)". The record is from RNAcentral. Lineage: Eukaryota; Metazoa; Chordata; Mammalia; Carnivora; Canidae.